GACUGGUCUGAAGGUAGUGAGUUAUCUCAGUUGAUCGUUCAGUUACAGAUUGAACUCCUUGUUCAACUCUUUCCUCCCUUCCUGUUACUGCACUUGACCAGCCUUAA
Molecule: Y RNA, 107 nt
Filed under: Colobus angolensis palliatus
Lineage: Eukaryota; Metazoa; Chordata; Mammalia; Primates; Cercopithecidae
Description: Y RNA (ENSCANG00000007072.1)
Rfam family: Y RNA
About the family: Y RNAs are components of the Ro ribonucleoprotein particle (Ro RNP), in association with Ro60 and La proteins. The Y RNAs and Ro60 and La proteins are well conserved, but the function of the Ro RNP is not known.
Source: Rfam by way of RNAcentral